GAUCUAUUAGUUUUUAAAAAUAUUAGUUUGUGGUACUAAAGAUUUUAUUGAUCU
RNAcentral lists this transfer RNA (54 nucleotides) under Histiostoma blomquisti. Its description in RNAcentral is "tRNA-His". Lineage: Eukaryota; Metazoa; Arthropoda; Arachnida; Sarcoptiformes; Histiostomatidae. The record is from RNAcentral.